CACCAAUUGCACGUUCACGGACACUUUUAUUGUAGUCGAAACUGCUUACAGAACCAAAACUGAGCUUCAGCAAAUACCUGAAAGACUUUCAGAAGGGAACGAUGGCCAACAGUGCUCUGUGGGCUUGUGCUGCAUUCCCAGGCUGUGUGUUGCUGACGGCGUUCUGAUGCUGCUGUGUUCUUCUCCAGGAGGAUUAGACACUUCCUGAAUUACAUGUUGUCGGUCAUGAGGAGGUUUGUUUGCAUCUGAAUACUCUCAUGUUCAGAACGAGCAAUAAGAUGGGAGACUUUAUCAGAACUGGCCACUAAUUAACAGAAAUCACAGUAACUAUUGCAUAGAGGGAUCUUGUUAAAUCGAAAAGCAGAGUGAUCAGAGUGGCAAAGUGCUAAUUAAGCUCUGAAUGUGGGGGCUGCAUCAACAGAGCACAGGGAUGAUCCUUCGCUGUCUGUUUACAUCACUGCGGUGCAUUCUGGGAGGUCACCCCACAACCUGGGGCAGGCGUACUGUUCUGCUGCUCCGGGAAAAAAAAAAAUGUGUGGAGGGGCAGAGGAUCAGACAGACAGGAGUAACCAAGACUCAUUUCUACACAGAUGGACAUGUAAAAAGAAGCGGCGCGCGAUCGUCUGUACUUGCAGAUUAUUCCUCGCCAGGAAAAGCAUAGGAACCGACAGAUAAAGAGGGAGAGAACUUCCACGCUUUUCUUUUUUUCCAGUCCUGCUCUGACCUCUUGACAGUUCUCAUCCCUCGUUCUGCUCCUCCGUCUCUCCCUCUUUCUCUUAACAUUCCUUUAUCAUGACAGUGUUUCGUGAAAGAUAGGGCCAAGGCUUUGUGACUGUGUUUGAUGGAAAUUAGACAAUCGUUCAUUAGUGAGUUAGAUAAAGUCUCUCCCUUCCUCCGACCCGG
Molecule: long non-coding RNA, 903 nt
Organism: Cyprinus carpio carpio
Lineage: Eukaryota; Metazoa; Chordata; Actinopteri; Cypriniformes; Cyprinidae
Source: Ensembl